GGGGCUCGCACGGUUACAGCCUGAGGAGCCCCGGGCUGCCCAGCAGGGAAAGGAGAAGUGGGAGAGGGGUCUGACAGGGGGCUGCCCCGUCCCAGCCUGCAGCACGGGGAAGUUGGGCAGAGAAAGUUUCAGUGAAGGAGAGCCCGGUGAUGGGAUGAAGAAAUGGGUUCAGGAAGCAAAAGGAGGGUUUUGUCCCCACAGACACACCCGGAGCAGGGAAGGCUCUGCUGGAGCUGGCCCCAGCCAGGCCCAGGAGCCGGUGAGCGCAUGAAGGCAGCAGGCCCGGUCCCCUCCUGCGCUCCCGGCUGCAGGAAAAACACUGAGGUGAAAGACGAACCUCAACUGGUACCAGGCCUUAGUUUACCCAAGAGGUGCUUUGUUUUCAAUAAAAGCCCCGUUAGGAUUUUGUGGUCGGCUGCCAGCUCGCAGCUCACUGAUGUGGUGGCCUCCUCGAACCCAGCCGUAACCUCCACGCUGACUCUUGCAACAGGAUAUUUGGCUCCUUUGGUCUAGAGACACAUCGAAACAAACAUUUUAUUUUUCCCUUAUCUUUUUUUUUAAGGUUUCGGUUUCAUCCUACGUCACUUUAAAUAGCUAUUUUUGCUGGUGUGGCUAUCCGGUCUUGUGAAUUUCACUAAAGAAACAACAAGAGUUCCCUAACACUGACAGAUAAAGGAUUAAAACAAUUAACGCAAUCACCCAUUACUUGAACAAAGGCUCUAUUGUGAAAACUUAUUACUGUUAAAACCUUUGUGUGGGGUAUUUUGGGGAACGAAAUCCAGUUCCAUAAAUAAAGCAAUAUUCUUGCAAAGCUCGAGGCAGCGGUGGCAGAAGAAGAGCUGGGCAGCACCAGAAGAACAGCGCGUUUUUGGGGGCUGUAACUGUAUCCAAAGAUCCCAGGGUCGGAUUCAGAACCUUGGCUUCCCUCUGGCAGCCCUUGCUACCAGCCCUAGUUUUGGGAAACACGGAGUUUACUCGUGAAUAGACAUGGAGAUGAGGACACAGCACACAUCAGGAUUCAUUUCAAGAUCGGCUAACCUAGGAAUGGCUGAGAAAUGAGGCGCUGAGCAUCACCCCUCACACCGUAUGGGCACCGCGACCUAAUGAAACCCGUGUGCUGCAGUUCCCAGCAAGAACUCCACUGCUGAGCCUACAGGGGCAGCUGGUGGUGCCCAGCAGCCGAAAUGAUGGUGUCUGCUGACUCUGGAAGUUGGGGGGCUCCACCUGGGAAUAAACUGUGUCUUCCCGCUCACCCAGGACCCUCCUGCAUCACUGCCACCAAUGCUGGGUCUUGGGACAGCAGGGGCGUGAGAAGAAAGGACUGAAGUCCACAUGAGUCCACAAGAUCGCUGUAGGAAUGCAUUCACUCAAACGUUUUAUGCUUUUACAACAGCAACAGAAUUGUAUCGUGUUUGUUUAUGCUUUCAAAUCACUGAAAAUCAGAAUCCAUCUGAAAAGUGAAAGUGAACCUAGCAACUGAAGAAUGGGGAAAUUAAGGUAAAAACAAACAGGACAGCUUGAUAGCGAGUGCCUGAUAAACAGACAUUUUACUAAAAAGGAGACUUUUCAGAUAUUUCCAUGACAUGUUGUUGCCACUUGAAAUGUGGUGCCUUCUGGUGCUGUCUCAGAAUAUCUGGCAGAACAUGUUGUAUGUAAUCAGAUGCUAUUUUUUCAAUGUAUAACUUUUUUAAAUCCUGUC
Long non-coding RNA from Anas platyrhynchos (mallard), 1699 nucleotides. RefSeq lists it as uncharacterized. The record is from RefSeq and is a predicted model, not a curated record. NCBI's taxonomy places the organism in Eukaryota, Metazoa, Chordata, Aves, Anseriformes, Anatidae.